RNAcentral lists this long non-coding RNA (1083 nucleotides) under Sinocyclocheilus grahami. Its description in RNAcentral is "lncRNA (ENSSGRG00000044200.1)". Lineage: Eukaryota; Metazoa; Chordata; Actinopteri; Cypriniformes; Cyprinidae. The record is from RNAcentral.
UGGGAAACGGAGGAGUAGAGAGGUUUAAUAGAACUUUAGGGAGUAUGCUCCGAACCCUGCCUCUGAAAGAGAAGCACAAAUGGCCACAGCAAAUACAAACGUUGACCUUUGCCUACAACGCCACAGUCCAUGAGACAACAGGGUACGCUCCAUUCCAGCUUAUGUUUGAUCGUGUACCGAGAUUGCCGGUGGACGUUAUGUUCAGACAGGUGCUACAUGACCCUGUAGUUGUGGAUCAUGGUACUUACCUGAAGUCGUUGAUGUCGUACCUCCAUGAAGCGGCUGAGAUCGCGCAGCGACAUUCUGAAAAAGAGCAGAGGAAACAGGCAGGAGGUUACAACAAGAAAGUUAGAGGGACAUGUCUGGAUAUUGGGGACCAUGUGCUAGUAGCAAAUAAAGGAGAAAGAGGAAAGAGGAAACUAGCAGAUAAGUGGGACCCUGUAGUGUACACUGUAGUGGACACAAAUCUGCAGACGCACACUUACAAACUCAAGGAUGGGAAAGGGAAUGCGAGGAUAGUGCACAGGAAGCUGCUGUUGGAUAUUAGUUUCCUACCUGUUGAGUCGCCUGAUGAGGAGGAAGGCAUACUACCUUCUACAGGGGAGUCAGAGUGUGAGACACAUAGCAGCAGGUGUGAGUUUGUGGAAGACUUCGAUCCAAGAGACCUGGAGGAAAGAACCAUGAGUUGGGUGAAUGACGACUUUGAAAGCCCUGCAGUUCAAGACUCUGAUGUUGAGAAAGUGAUUGGAAUGGAUAAUUUCAGUUCGGAUGGAAGAGAGUCCAGUGAUCAGUUGCACACUAAAGAGAAUAGUAGCAGGGAUCGUCCUCAGAGUGAAGCUGAAGCCAGUCCAACAUCUCUUGACGUUAUCCCUGACUGUGACACAGAUACACAUACACAAAUUCAGACUGACAUUCAAACUGACACCGACACCCAAGUUCCAGUUCAUGAUGUUCAGGGUGUUAAGACACGAGCAGGUAGAGUUGUUAAGAAAGUGAACAGAUUAAUUGAGUCAAUGGUUCAGAAACCCUUUUACCUCCAAGGUGUUGGAAGUAAUCUGAAAAAGAGAACUGGGUCAUUUCUUU